Molecule: ribosomal RNA, 465 nt
Filed under: uncultured bacterium
Lineage: Bacteria
Description: partial 16S ribosomal RNA
Rfam family: Bacterial small subunit ribosomal RNA
Source: RNAcentral
CUACGGGAUGCUGCAGUGGGGAAUAUUGGACAAUGGGGGAAACCCUGAUCCAGCAGUGCCGCGUGUGUGAAGAAGGCCUGCGGGUUGUAAAGCACUUUCGGUUGGGAGGACUGCUUCUAGCACUAAUAUUGUUGGAAGUUGACGUUACCUUCAGAAGAAGCACCGGCUAACUCCGUGCCAGCAGCCGCGGUAAUACGGAGGGCGCAAGCGUUAAUCGGAAUUACUGGGCGUAAAGCGCGCGUAGGCGGCUAGAUCAGUCGGGUGUGAAAGCCCCGGGUUUAACCUGGGAACUGCAUCCGAUACUGUCUAGCUUGAGUACAGGAGAGGAGAGUGGAAUUCCACAUGUAGCGGUGAAAUGCGUAGAUAUGUGGAGGAACACCAAUGGCGAAGGCAGCUCUCUGGCCUGAUACUGACGCUGAGGUGCGAAAGCGUGGGGAGCAAACAGGAUUAGAUACCCGCGUAGUC